UAGAAAACUUAGAACAUCUCUUAAAAAAAAAAACUAAGAAGUAAGAACACACAAAAACAAAUGAAAAAGAGAAAUCAAACAAGGAAUUUGUAAUAUCCACUCCCUCCCUAUCCUUGUUCUUCUUGUUCUCCUCUCCCCUUGUCUUUUUACAUUCUCGAGAUUAAACCUUCUUCUAAUUCCAAUGGCUUCUGCUAUCUCUGCUUCUGAUCCUUCUCUCUUCAAAGACCCCACCAAGAAGAAGAAGGGAAAUGGGUCAGCGAAAUUGAAGCAAAUCAAGCUUGAUGUUCGGCGAGAGCAAUGGCUAUCUCGAGGAUUUCCGGAGUUGUACUCAUCACUCUAUCUACCAAAAGAAAAGGAAACCUGAACUUUCCACAUCCCACCAUACCAUUGCAGACAAUUAGUUAGUUAUAAUAUAAACAAGAAGAGAAACAAAGAAACAAAACCAGGAGGAAUAAAGUAUGCAACACAAUUUCAAAAAGGAACAUGUGAUGUGACCUUAAGGUUACCAAUAAAGGAAAUUUUUAUAGACAACAUACAAAUUCAAACUUUCAAUGUAUUUAUUUUGCGUUUAUCAAGUAAAAGGUUCAAAAACUUCUACUUGUCAAGUUAGCUAAACCCUAAUCCCAAAUAUUAAAAAGAAUUUUAGGGAGAGGUAAUUUAAAGGGUGGGGUAAUUUGAAAAUUUUAUUAAAAAGUUAACAAAAAAAUUAGAAUUUGGUACUUUUGUCAUACAUAACACAUCUUAAAUGGGUAUAACGUUAAUUUUCUUUUUUUAUGAGUACUUUUGUCAACAUUCGUAUAAUUCAUGAAUACAAAUGGUUGUUUUUUAAAAUUAUUUUAGUUGACAUAAAUAUAAUAAAGAGUAAAUGUAUAUAUUCAUUAAUAUAUAAGGUUAUAUUAGACUUUUUACUUUGAAAAGUAUAUUCAUACUUUGAAAAACACCCAUAGUUUUUCAAAGCUAAAAGCACAAACAACAAUCUUUUGGAUUUACCAAACAGAAAGGGAGGUAUUUACAUCUUUCCAAAAAGUUUUAUCAAACCGGCUAAAGUUUGAUUGGAAGUGAGUUAAGGCAGUCCAUGAGCCAGUUCGACCUCGACUUGUUAGCUUGUAAGCCAAUCUUGAGCUUGAAUUUGAGCUCGUAUAUUAAAUUAGACAAGCUUGAUCUUGGAUAAGUUGCUCAUUGGUUCGUGACUGGCUUGAUUAUAUAUAUAUAUAUUGUAUUUUAUACACAUAUGGCAUAAUACAAAUUUUUAUAUAUAAUUAUGACAGAGGACAUCAAUAAUAAUUGAUAGAGAUAUAACUUUUUAUUUAUAUAUAGAUUAUGUUCAUGUUAUUUGAGCCAGUUCGUGAGAUUUUGGUAAGUCGAGUUUGAUCUUUACAAAUAAGCUCGAUUGUUUGAGUCGAGCCACGAACCGAGCUUGAGCUUGGCCCAGUUCGCCUCAGCUCGGCUCACUUCCAGCCCUAGGCUGAAGUGUCUUGUGCUUUUUCUUUCUUUUUAUUCAUUGUUUCUUACAUUCUUGUCUUUCAGUAAAGAAAGGAUCUAAUGUCGACUCAAAUAGAAGCAUUGAUUAUUGUCCAUCAUCUAAGCAUGUUCCUACUGAGGAGAACAGAUCAUCAAACAAGGAAAACAAGAAAAGGGGAGAGAAUACAGAAAGUUCUUGCAUCCCACUCAACGAUUCAACAUCCAUUCGAAGUCCUCUCGAUCACGAGUCAAGGAAUGGUUUCUCUUCAUGGAGUAGCACCAGCAUUAGUAGC
This is an RNA transcript of Arachis stenosperma, 1754 nucleotides long. RefSeq lists it as uncharacterized. NCBI's taxonomy places the organism in Eukaryota, Viridiplantae, Streptophyta, Magnoliopsida, Fabales, Fabaceae. The transcript is spliced from 3 exons. The record is from RefSeq and is a predicted model, not a curated record.